UUUAAAAGAACCAAUUUAUAAGAAUAUAACUUACAAAUAUUAAUAUUUUUGCAAAUGUUGAUUAGUUUUGGUUGUUUUUAUUUUUUUUUAAAUUGGCAUUUCAAGGGGAGGUAACUCUAAAACAGUGCAUUUUCUGAAGGAUUCUACAUGAAAUUUUCCUAUUUUGUAUUUUAGCCGGAAAAAACGUACGGUGACCCUAUCUUUUCUUUUGAUAUUCUCAAA
RNAcentral lists this long non-coding RNA (222 nucleotides) under Mytilus galloprovincialis (Mediterranean mussel). The record is from RNAcentral. Lineage: Eukaryota; Metazoa; Mollusca; Bivalvia; Mytilida; Mytilidae.